RNAcentral lists this ribosomal RNA (234 nucleotides) under uncultured bacterium. RNAcentral describes it as "partial 16S ribosomal RNA". It matches the Rfam family "Bacterial small subunit ribosomal RNA", at positions 524 to 756 of the family's 1533-position model. The record is from RNAcentral.
UACGUAGGGCGCAAGCGUUGUCCGGAAUUAUUGGGCGUAAAGAGCUCGUAGGCGGUUUGUCGCGUCUGCUGUGAAAACCUAAGGCUCAACCUUGGGCUUGCAGUGGGUACGGGCAGACUAGAGUGUGGUAGGGGAGACUGGAAUUCCUGGUGUAGCGGUGGAAUGCGCAGAUAUCAGGAGGAACACCGGUGGCGAAGGCGGUUCUCUGGGCCUGUACUGACGCUGGAGGAGCGA